This 497-nucleotide ribosomal RNA is filed under the name uncultured bacterium. RNAcentral's name for it is "partial 16S ribosomal RNA". It matches the Rfam family "Bacterial small subunit ribosomal RNA", at positions 28 to 507 of the family's 1533-position model. The record is from RNAcentral.
GAUGAACGCUGGCGGCGUGCCUAAUACAUGCAAGUCGAGCGGACAGACGAGGAGCUUGCUCCUCUGACGUUAGCGGAGCACGGGUGAGUAACACGUGGAUCACCUACCUAUAAGACUGGGAUCACUACGGGAAACCGGAGCUAAUACCGGAUAAUAUAUUGAUGCGCAUGGUUCAAUAGUGAAAGACGGUUUUGCUGUCACUAAUCGCUGGAUCCGAGCUGCAUUAGCUAGUUGGUAAGGUAACGGCUUACCAAGGCAACGAUGCGUAGCCGACCUGAGAGGGUGAUCGGCCACACUGGAACUGAGACACGGUCCAGACUCCUACGGGAGGCAGCAGUAGGGAAUCUUCCGCAAUGGGCGAAAGCCUGACGGAGCAACGCCGCGUGAGUGAUGAAGGUCUUCGGAUCGUAAAACUCUGUUAUUAGGGAAGAACAAAUGUGUAAGUAACUAUGCACGUCUUGACGGUACCUAAUCAGAAAGCCACGGCUAACUACGUG